This 426-nucleotide ribosomal RNA is filed under the name uncultured bacterium. RNAcentral's name for it is "partial 16S ribosomal RNA". It matches the Rfam family "Bacterial small subunit ribosomal RNA", at positions 354 to 796 of the family's 1533-position model. The record is from RNAcentral.
GUGAGGAAUUUUCCGCAAUGGGCGAAAGCCUGACGGAGCAAUGCCGCGUGAAGGAUGAAGGCCUAUGGGUUGUAAACUUCUUUUCUCAGAAAAGAAUUAUGACGGUAUCUGAGGAAUAAGCAUCGGCUAACUCUGUGCCAGCAGCCGCGGUAAGACAGAGGAUGCAAGCGUUAUCCGGAAUAAUUGGGCGUAAAGCGUCUGUAGGUUGUUUAAAAAGUAUUCUGUCAAAGAUUAGGGCUUAACCCUAGAUAGGCAGAAUAAACUUUUAAGCUAGAGUUUGGUAGAGGCAGAGGGAAUUCCCGGUGGAGCGGUGAAAUGCGUAGAUAUCGGGAGGAACACCAAAGGCGAAGGCACUCUGCUGGGCCAAUACUAACACUGAGAGACGAAAGCGAGGGGAGCAAAUGGGAUUAGAUACCCCAGUAGUCC